Molecule: long non-coding RNA, 337 nt
Organism: Sapajus apella (tufted capuchin)
Lineage: Eukaryota; Metazoa; Chordata; Mammalia; Primates; Cebidae
Exons: 2
Source: RefSeq, a predicted model, not a curated record
GACCUCAUGAUCCACCAGCCUCAGCCUCUCAAAGUGUUGGAAUUACGCGUGUGAGCCACUGUGUCCAGCUGAGCCCCCUUUCUUCUUGCUUGUCUCUCUCUGAGUCUUUGGGUAGAAAGUCAUUCAACACUAUUAUGUGCAUCUUCCUGUUGGGAAAAGUUUAAUUUACUUUUUUAAUUGUAGGUUCUACAACAACUGAAGCAGACAUUUUCCACCAGGCACUUCUUGAAGGCAAUACAGCUACUGAAGUUUCCCUAACAGUACUAGAUACCAUAUCAUUUUUCACUCAGUGCUUCAAGACCCAACUUUUAAAUAAUGAUGGCCACAACCCAUUAAU